ACGGGUGAGUAACACGUAUCCAACCUGCCGUCUACUCUUGGACAGCCUCCUGAAAGGAAAGAUUAAUACAAGAUGGCAUCAUGAGUUCACAUGUUCACAUGAUUAAAGGUAUUCCGGUAGACGAUGGGGAUGCGUUCCAUUAGAUAGUAGGCGGGGUAACGGCCCACCUAGUCUUCGAUGGAUAGGGGUUCUGAGAGGAAGGUCCCCCACAUUGGAACUGAGACACGGUCCAA
Molecule: ribosomal RNA, 233 nt
Filed under: uncultured bacterium
Lineage: Bacteria
Description: partial 16S ribosomal RNA
Rfam family: Bacterial small subunit ribosomal RNA
Source: RNAcentral